RNAcentral lists this transfer RNA (87 nucleotides) under Saprospiraceae bacterium. RNAcentral describes it as "tRNA-Ser". It matches the Rfam family "tRNA". From Rfam's summary of the family: Transfer RNA (tRNA) molecules are approximately 80 nucleotides in length. Their secondary structure includes four short double-helical elements and three loops (D, anti-codon, and T loops). The record is from RNAcentral. Lineage: Bacteria; Pseudomonadati; Bacteroidota; Saprospiria; Saprospirales; Saprospiraceae.
GGAGGAGUGGCAGAGUGGUUGAAUGCAUCGGUCUUGAAAACCGACGUACGUGAAAGCGUAUCGGGGGUUCGAAUCCCUCCUCCUCCG